UGUUCUGGCUAUUCAGUGUUUAACCGUGGCCUCUGAAUCUGCAUUUAGCACCGGAGGGAGAACUUUGGAUCAAUUUAGGAGCUCUUUGCUUCCAACUACUGUAGAGGUCUUAAUUUGCUGCUGAGAUUGGUUGAUAAAUGAAAAAAAACCCAUCCAACUUGAAGAAUCCAUUGAAGAGCUUGAAAAUUGGGAGUCAGAUUACUCAAGAUUCUGAUGUUAUGGAGAUUAUUAUUCCAAGAACUAGAGUGGAUUGCUAGGUGACAUCAUAUUGGAGGAAGGCUUGAAGGAGUUCAUUUUAUGUGGAAAAUGUAGCAAUAAGGAAUGUGGAGGCUAGUUGUUGUUGUUGUUGUUGUUUUUUUUUUUUUUUUUU
Long non-coding RNA from Hevea brasiliensis (rubber tree), 370 nucleotides. RefSeq lists it as uncharacterized. The record is from RefSeq and is a predicted model, not a curated record. NCBI's taxonomy places the organism in Eukaryota, Viridiplantae, Streptophyta, Magnoliopsida, Malpighiales, Euphorbiaceae. The transcript is spliced from 3 exons.